Molecule: ribosomal RNA, 507 nt
Filed under: Pseudolycoriella frederickedwardsi
Lineage: Eukaryota; Metazoa; Arthropoda; Insecta; Diptera; Sciaridae
Description: partial large subunit ribosomal RNA
Source: RNAcentral
GUCUUUUUGAUUUUAAUUUAAAGUUUAACCUGCCCAUUGAAAAUUUUUAAAAGGCUGCGGUAUUUUGACYGUACAAAGGUAGCAUAAUCAUUAGUUUUUUAAUUGAAAACUUGUAUGAAUGGUUGAAUGAAAAAUUAACUUUUUUAAAAAAAUAAUUGAAUUUUACUUUUUAAUUAAAAGGUUAAAAUAAAUUUAAAAGACGAGAAGACCCUAUAGAGUUUUAUAAUUUUUAUUUAAUAUUUAAAAAGAUUAAUUAAAAUUUUAUAAAAGAAAAUAUUUUGUUGGGGUGAUAAUAAAAUUUAAAUAACUUUUAUUUUUUUUUUACAUUAAUAUAUGAAUUCAUGAUCCAUUAUUGAUGAUUAUAAAUUUAAAUUACCUUAGGGAUAACAGCGUAAUUUUUUUUUAAAGUUCAUAUUAAUAAAAAAUUUUGCGACCUCGAUGUUGGAUUAAGAUUUAAUUUUAGGUGCAGCAGUUUAAAUUUUAAGUCUGUUCGACUUUUAAAUUCUU